ACGAGUGCGAAGGAUGGCCGUUGUUCAAAAGGCGAUUGUUACUUGUCUUGCGGUGAAGAUAGUGAGGACUGAAGCACCAAGCAUCAAGGUAGCAAGGCUUCAUACAUAGAACAGGCUGACAUGAAAAACAGGAAAGUUUGUAAGCCAAGACGUUGAUAUGGUAGGCCAUAUUCCUGUGUUUCAUGCUAAAGAUAACAGAACGGAGAGGAUGGUAACGGAGAAAUAAGUAGAAAGAAGAGGCUGCAAGAACACACAUACCACUUUCGCAUGCUCAUUGGAAACUUUGACUGAGCUAGGACUGUAAUAUGUUUGAUGAAUUGGACCCUUCAACAGUCGGCUCACUCCUACAUUUAUCAAAUUCUCAUUAAAAGGAUUACCUGGGAAGCAUGUAUCUAUAUUUAUAUGAACAUGAAUAGAAACUAUACAAGAUAGAAUGAAGAAACAGAGGUUUCAUAGAUUUAAGCACAAUAGGAUAUAAAUUUGUUUGAUGAUGGAUUUAUAGUGUGAAAUGAACUAUAGUUUAUAUGAGAAUUAAUGGCUUUGGUAAGUAG
This 551-nucleotide long non-coding RNA is filed under the name Triticum aestivum (bread wheat). Its description in RNAcentral is "long non-coding RNA (TAES_LNC000346)". The record is from RNAcentral. Lineage: Eukaryota; Viridiplantae; Streptophyta; Magnoliopsida; Poales; Poaceae.